CCUACGGGCUGCACCAGUGGGGAAUAUUGCACAAUGGGCGCAAGCCUGAUGCAGCCAUGCCGCGUGUAUGAAGAAGGCCUUCGGGUUGUAAAGUACUUUCAGCGGGGAGGAAGGUGUUGUGGUUAAUAACCGCAGCAAUAGACGUUACCCGCAGAAGAAGCACCGGCUAACUCCGUGCCAGCAGCCGCGGUAAUACGGAGGGUGCAAGCGUUAAUCGGAAUUACUGUGCGUAAGGCGCACGCAGGCGGUCUGUCAAGUCGGAUGUGAAAUCCCCGGGCUCAACCUGGGAACUGCAUUCGAAACUGGCAGGCUAGAGUCUUGUAGAGGGGGGUAGAAUUCCAGGUGUAGCGGUGAAAUGCGUAGAGAUCUGGAGGAAUACCGGUGGCGAAGGCGGCCCCCUGGACAAAGACUGACGCUCAGGUGCGAAAGCGUGGGGAGCAAACAGGAUUAGAUACCCCGGUAGUC
This 465-nucleotide ribosomal RNA is filed under the name uncultured bacterium. RNAcentral describes it as "bacterial SSU rRNA". It matches the Rfam family "Bacterial small subunit ribosomal RNA", at positions 338 to 795 of the family's 1533-position model. The record is from RNAcentral.